Sinocyclocheilus grahami is the source of this 537-nucleotide long non-coding RNA. RefSeq lists it as uncharacterized. The transcript is spliced from 3 exons. The record is from RefSeq and is a predicted model, not a curated record. Lineage: Eukaryota; Metazoa; Chordata; Actinopteri; Cypriniformes; Cyprinidae.
UAGCACUAUUUCAGUUGUCAUUGAGUAUCCAUUUUAAAAACUAUCAGUUGAUUAAUCGGUUAUUGGCUAGUGUGGUCCAACCUAGCUAUCGGUAUCGAUAAAAUCCAUUAUCGGUCGACCUCUAAUUUUAAUACUUUGGCCCAAACAACAGUCCGGACAAGAUGACAGUAGUUGCCAAGAGUUAUAGCCAGUGUGAAGAUUUUGAGUUAAAUGUAAUCAUUUGUCGGCAAGUGUAUGAUGCCUAGUGUGUUCAGAUUUAAACGCCGUGGUGUACUCCAGCCUUUUCCCACAACUUGCACAUUAUUUCCUGUGGCAGCUAUACAAACCCAAAGCAUAACUUAAAAUGUCGUUCUUUUCAUCACAUUGGUUCCCCUUUUUUUCUGUAACAUACUUUUGACUGCAGCCAAUUAAAUUCAAGAAUCAAAAAGGUUCUUGUGUGAAAAGUGGAUCAGUGGAAGAGUGUUUUUUUUUUUAAUGAAUUAAUUUAAUGAAUCCAUGCCAUUUGUGAACUUACAGAGCACAUUGUUGGGUCUGCAA